Molecule: ribosomal RNA, 315 nt
Filed under: uncultured bacterium
Lineage: Bacteria
Description: bacterial SSU rRNA
Rfam family: Bacterial small subunit ribosomal RNA
Source: RNAcentral
GAUGAACGCUAGCUACAGGCUUAACACAUGCAAGUCGAGGGGCAUCAGGAACAUAGCUUGCUAUGUUUGCUGGCGACCGGCGCACGGGUGCGUAACACGUAUCCAAUCUGCCCGUUACUCGGGGAUAGCCUUUCGAAAGAAAGAUUAAUGCCCGAUAGUAUUAUUUAUAGGCGUCUAUUUAUAAUUAAAGAUUUAUCGGUAACGGAUGAGGAUGCGUAUGAUUAGUUAGUUGGCGGGGUAACGGCCCACCAAGACUACGAUCAUUAGGGGUUCUGAGAGGAAGGUCCCCCACACUGGAACUGAGACACGGUCCAG